Molecule: long non-coding RNA, 891 nt
Organism: Fukomys damarensis (Damara mole-rat)
Lineage: Eukaryota; Metazoa; Chordata; Mammalia; Rodentia; Bathyergidae
Exons: 4
Source: RefSeq, a predicted model, not a curated record
CAGAUAUUCAACUGAAAGUUAUAAACACUAGACCUGUGAAGACAAUGACUAGAAACACCGGGUGCUACAAUGGCAGAGAUCAGUAACAAGUGGUGUUCAUGGUGUUUCAGAAAGGAAACAAGAAAGCAAUGUGCAAAGCAGGAGUUCAGUUAAUGUACAGACGGGAGGCGACGUGAUCCCAACCAUUGCUUGUACAGUCCUGAGUGAGGAAAAGCCAUGGUACUGUCAGAAUCCAGACAAGUCCACCAGGGAAGAGCACCAUGCAAUGCUAUUGAGGAGAUGAGAAGACUUGAGUCACAGAGAACCUUUAUGUUUUGUUACAGAGUUCGAAUUUUGUCCUAAGAGCACUAGAAUGUCAUGGAAGGACUUUAACCAAAUGAUAUGAUUUUCAUUUAACAUGAUCCCCUGGCUAUAGAGAAAAGAUGGGAAACAAAGCAGAAGCAGAAGGCAGUGUGGUUCUGUCAUCUUGAAUUCACAUGAGCAAUGCACGAGAAUUUCAGUUGUUCCACAUCCCAGCAAGUAUUUGUCAUUUUUCUUAGGUCUACAAAAGAAAAGGACCUGAAUUCAAGGAGCUCUGCUUAAUGAAACAUAAUGAGGACAUUCAUGCAAACCUGGAAGCAAUUUAGAUGGGGUCUGCCUGGCCUGGGAGAAGCAAGCAACAGCUUCCUUAGCGCUAUCCUCCUGGCGUCUGAUGUGAAAGUUCUGAUGUGGCUGAAGAAGUGUGAAGCUCCAGCAAAGUAAGAGAGGUACCUGGUGUGCAACUGCUCCCAAAGAGGUCGGAAAUAGGAAAAAAAAUUACAAAAUAAAAUACAAAGGGCAAAAAUCUCAACUGGCCUAAAAGCUUUAAAAUACAGCAUUUCACGUUGAUCUCCUUGAUCUUCCUCACCUUAG